RNAcentral lists this ribosomal RNA (253 nucleotides) under uncultured bacterium. Its description in RNAcentral is "partial 16S ribosomal RNA". It matches the Rfam family "Bacterial small subunit ribosomal RNA", at positions 524 to 776 of the family's 1533-position model. The record is from RNAcentral.
GACAGAGGGUGCAAACGUUGUUCGGAAUUACUGGGCGUAAAGCGCGUGUAGGCUGCCUUGCAAGUCGGGUGUGAAAGCCCUGGGCUCAACCUAGGAAGUGCACUCGAAACUGCAAGGCUGGAGUCCUGGAGAGGAAGGCGGAAUUCUCGGUGUAGAGGUGAAAUUCGUAGAUAUCGAGAGGAACACCGGUGGCGAAGGCGGCCUUCUGGACAGUGACUGACGCUGAGACGCGAAAGCUAGGGGAGCAAACGGG